UAACGUCGCCGGGGCGGCUCCCGCCCGCAUCGAGGGCGUCAACGACGUCCGCAGACGCGCCGAUCAAGAGCUUAACGGCUUCGAGAGAAGCCGCGGAGCCGCCGGCGGCAGCGCAGUGCAGGGCGGUGGCUCCGUCGGAGUAGGCGUGGCGGACGGCCUCAGCUGGGCAGGCGGACAGGAUGUAGCCCAUCACGGCGGUGCUGCCGUAUAGCGCCGCGAUCAUGAGCGGCGUCCGCAGCUGGUAACCCAUUCCCCGGCCAGGAGAGCGGCCGUACCAGGAGGCAGCGGCAUCCAACGGUCGGCCGUCGUCCUCCACCGCCCGCCUGAAG
Molecule: long non-coding RNA, 329 nt
Filed under: Musa acuminata (dwarf banana)
Lineage: Eukaryota; Viridiplantae; Streptophyta; Magnoliopsida; Zingiberales; Musaceae
Description: long non-coding RNA (MACU_LNC002955)
Source: RNAcentral